This 121-nucleotide ribosomal RNA is filed under the name uncultured bacterium. RNAcentral describes it as "partial 16S ribosomal RNA". The record is from RNAcentral.
AGGUACGCUCAAGUCGACUGGUUAUUAGCCAAUCUCCCUUGUUCCCUUGCGAAAGAGCUUUACAACCCUAAGGCCUUCUUCGCUCACACGGCGUCGCAUCAUCAGGCUUUCGCCCAUUGUG